AUAGGGGAGCCGGAGGGAAACCGAGUCUUAAUUGGGCGUUAAGUUGCAGGGUAUAGACCCGAAACCCGGUGAUCUAGCCAUGGGCAGGUUGAAGGUUGGGUAACACUAACUGGAGGACCGAACCGACUAAUGUUGAAAAAUUAGCGGAUGACCUGUGGCUGGGGGUGAAAGGCCAAUCAAACCGGGAGAUAGCUGGUUCUCCCCGAAAGCUAUUUAGGUAGCGCCUCGUGAAUUCAUCUCCGGGGGUAGAGCACUGUUUCGGCUAGGGGGCCAUCCCGGCUUACCAACCCGAUGCAAACUGCGAAUACCGGAGAAUGUUAUCACGGGAGACACACGGCGGGUGCUAACGUCCGUCGUGAAGAGGGAAACAACCCAGACCGCCAGCUAAGGUCCCAAAGUCAUGGUUAAGUGGGAAACGAUGUGGGAAGGCCCAGACAGCCAGGAUGUUGGCUUAGAAGCAGCCAUCAUUUAAAGAAAGCGUAAUAGCUCACUGGUCGAGUCGGCCUGCGCGGAAGAUGUAACGGGGCUAAACCAUGCACCGAAGCUGCGGCAGCGACACUGUGUGUUGUUGGGUAGGGGAGCGUUCUGUAAGCCUGUGAAGGUGUGUCGUGAGGCAUGCUGGAGGUAUCAGAAGUGCGAAUGCUGACAUAAGUAACGAUAAAGCGGGUGAAAAGCCCGCUCGCCGGAAGACCAAGGGUUCCUGUCCAACGUUAAUCGGGGCAGGGUGAGUCGACCCCUAAGGCGAGGCCGAAAGGCGUAGUCGAUGGGAAACGGGUUAAUAUUCCCGUACUUGGUGUUACUGCGAAGGGGGGACGGAGAAGGCUAUGUUGGCCGGGCGACGGUUGUCCCGGUUUAAGCGUGUAGGUGUGUGUUCCAGGUAAAUCCGGUUCACUUUAACACUGAGGCGUGACGACGAGGCACUACGGUGCUGAAGCAACAAAUGCCCUGCUUCCAGGAAAAGCCUCUAAGCAUCAGGUAACAUCAAAUCGUACCCCAAACCGACACAGGUGGUCAGGUAGAGAAUACCAAGGCGCUUGAGAGAACUCGGGUGAAGGAACUAGGCAAAAUGGUGCCGUAACUUCGGGAGAAGGCACGCUGACACGUAGGUGAAGUGAUUUACUCAUGGAGCUGAAGUCAGUCGAAGAUACCAGCUGGCUGCAACUGUUUAUUAAAAACACAGCACUGUGCAAACACGAAAGUGGACGUAUACGGUGUGACGCCUGCCCGGUGCCGGAAGGUUAAUUGAUGGGGUCAGCGCAAGCGAAGCUCCUGAUCGAAGCCCCGGUAAACGGCGGCCGUAACUAUAACGGUCCUAAGGUAGCGAAAUUCCUUGUCGGGUAAGUUCCGACCUGCACGAAUGGCGUAAUGAUGGCCAGGCUGUCUCCACCCGAGACUCAGUGAAAUUGAACUCGCUGUGAAGAUGCAGUGUACCCGCGGCAAGACGGAAAGACCCCGUGAACCUUUACUAUAGCUUGACACUGAACAUUGAGCCUUGAUGUGUAGGAUAGGUGGGAGGCUUUGAAGUGUGGACGCCAGUCUGCGUGGAGCCGACCUUGAAAUACCACCCUUUAAUGUUUGAUGUUCUAACGUGGACCCGUGAUCCGGGUUGCGGACAGUGUCUGGUGGGUAGUUUGACUGGGGCGGUCUCCUCCUAAAGAGUAACGGAGGAGCACGAAGGUUGGCUAAUCCUGGUCGGACAUCAGGAGGUUAGUGCAAUGGCAUAAGCCAGCUUGACUGCGAGCGUGACGGCGCGAGCAGGUGCGAAAGCAGGUCAUAGUGAUCCGGUGGUUCUGAAUGGAAGGGCCAUCGCUCAACGGAUAAAAGGUACUCCGGGGAUAACAGGCUGAUACCGCCCAAGAGUUCAUAUCGACGGCGGUGUUUGGCACCUCGAUGUCGGCUCAUCACAUCCUGGGGCUGAAGUAGGUCCCAAGGGUAUGGCUGUUCGCCAUUUAAAGUGGUACGCGAGCUGGGUUUAGAACGUCGUGAGACAGUUCGGUCCCUAUCUGCCGUGGGCGCUGGAGAACUGAGGGGGGCUGCUCCUAGUACGAGAGGACCGGAGUGGACGCAUCACUGGUGUUCGGGUUGUCAUGCC
Molecule: ribosomal RNA, 2092 nt
Filed under: Salmonella enterica subsp. enterica
Lineage: Bacteria; Pseudomonadati; Pseudomonadota; Gammaproteobacteria; Enterobacterales; Enterobacteriaceae
Description: partial 23S ribosomal RNA
Rfam family: Bacterial large subunit ribosomal RNA
Source: RNAcentral